CUACGGGCUGCUGCAGGCGCGAAACCUUUACAAUGCACGCAAGUGUGAUAAGGGGAUCCCCAGUGCUCAUGCUUUGCAUGGGCUUUUGUUAAGUGUAAAUAGCUUGACGAAUAAGUGGUGGGUAAGACUGGUGCCAGCCGCCGCGGUAACACCAGCGCCACGAGUGGCAACCGCGUUUAUUGGGCCUAAAGCGUCCGUAGCUGGUCUGUUAAAUCUUUUGUGAAAUUGUACAGCUUAACUGUACAACGUGCAAGAGAGACUGGCAGGCUUGAGACCGGGAGGAGUCAGAAGUAUUCCGGGGGGAGCGGUAAAAUGUUAUAAUCCUCGGAGGACUACCUGUGGCGAAGGCGUCUGACUAGAACGGAUCUGACAGUGAGGGACGAAAGCCAGGGGAGCAAACCGGAUUAGAUACCCGUGUAGUC
This 422-nucleotide ribosomal RNA is filed under the name uncultured archaeon. Its description in RNAcentral is "partial 16S ribosomal RNA". It matches the Rfam family "Archaeal small subunit ribosomal RNA", at positions 323 to 746 of the family's 1478-position model. The record is from RNAcentral.